CGGGCGGAGCGCCGGUCUAAGUUCCUUGGAACGGGACGUCAUAGAGGGUGAGAAUCCCGUAUGUGACCGGUGACGAAGCCCAUGUGAAACUCCUUCGACGAGUCGAGUUGUUUGGGAAUGCAGCUCAAAAUGGGUGGUAAAUUUCAUCUAAAGCUAAAUACCGGCCAGAGACCGAUAGCGCACAAGUAGAGUGAUCGAAAGAUGAAAAGCACUUUGGAAAGAGAGUCAAAAAGUACGUGAAAUUGUUGAAAGGGAAGCGCUUGCAACCAGACCUGCCCGCGGGUGAUCAGCCGUCCUUCUGGGCGGUGCACUCGCCCGUGAUCAGGCCAGCAUCGGUUCGGGCGGCCGGAUAAAGGCCUUGGGAACGUAGCUUCUUUCGGGGAGUGUUAUAGCCCUCGGUGCAAUGCGGCCAGCCUGGACCGAGGACCGCGCUUCGGCUAGGAUGCUGGCGUAAUGGUUGUAAGCGGCCCGUCUUGAAACACGGACCAAGGAGUCUAACACCUAUGCGAGUGUUUGGGUGUCAAACCCAUACGCGUAAUGAAAGUGAACGGAGGUGGGAACCCCUUCCGGGGCGCACCAUCGACCGAUCCAGAUGUCUUCGGAUGGAUUUGAGUACGAGCAUGGUCGUUAGGACCCGAAAGAUGGUGAACUAUGCCUGAAUAGGGUGAAGCCAGAGGAAACUCUGGUGGAGGCUCGCAGCGGUUCUGACGUGCAAAUCGAUCGUCAAAUUUGGGUAUAGGGGCGAAAGACUAAUCGAACUAUC
Molecule: ribosomal RNA, 763 nt
Filed under: Parvoplaca sp. 26 UA-2013
Lineage: Eukaryota; Fungi; Ascomycota; Lecanoromycetes; Teloschistales; Teloschistaceae
Description: LSU rRNA
Rfam family: Eukaryotic large subunit ribosomal RNA
Source: RNAcentral